GACGAACGCUGGCGGCGUGCUUAACACAUGCAAGUCGAACGCUGAAGCUUGGUGCUUGCACUGGGUGGAUGAGUGGCGAACGGGUGAGUAAUACGUGAGUAACCUGCCCUUGACUCUGGGAUAAGCCUGGGAAACUGGGUCUAAUACUGGAUACGACAUGUCACCGCAUGGUGGUGUGUGGAAAGGGUUUUACUGGUUUUGGAUGGGCUCACGGCCUAUCAGCUUGUUGGUGGGGUAAUGGCUCACCAAGGCGACGACGGGUAGCCGGCCUGAGAGGGUGACCGGCCACACUGGGACUGAGACACGGCCCAGACUCCUACGGGAGGCAGCAGUGGGGAAUAUUGCACAAUGGGCGGAAGCCUGAUGCAGCGACGCCGCGUGAGGGAUGACGGCCUUCGGGUUGUAAACCUCUUUCAGCACGGAAGAAGCGAAAGUGACGGUACGUGCAGAAGAAGCGCCGGCCAACUACGUG
Molecule: ribosomal RNA, 472 nt
Filed under: uncultured bacterium
Lineage: Bacteria
Description: partial 16S ribosomal RNA
Rfam family: Bacterial small subunit ribosomal RNA
Source: RNAcentral